AGAGUUGAUCAUGGCUCAGGACGAACGCUGGCGGCGUGCCUAACACAUGCAAGUCGAACGGAGCUAUUGACUUCGGUUGAUAGCUUAGUGGCGAACGGGUGAGUAACGCGUGAGCAACCUGUCUUUCAGAGGGGGAUAACAACGAGAAAUCGUUGCUAAUACCGCAUAAGACCACACUGUCGCAUGGCAGAGGGGUAAAAGGAGCAAUCCGCUGAUUGAGGGGCUCGCGUCCCAUUAGAUAGUAGGUGAGGUAACGGCUCACCUAGUCUGCGAUGGGUAGCCGAGCUGAGAGGCUGAACGGCCACACCGGAACUGAGACACGGUCCAGACUCCUACGGGAGGCAGCAGUGGGGAAUAUUGGGCAAUGGGCGAAAGCCUGACCCAGCAACGCCGCGUGAGGGAAGAAGGUCUUCGGAUUGUAAACCUCUGUUCUUGGUGACGAAAAAGAUGACGGUAGCCAAGGAGAAAGCCCCGGCUAACUACGUGCCAGCAGCCGCGGUAAUACGUAGGGGGCAAGCGUUGUCCGGAAUCACUGGGCGUAAAGGGUGAGUAGGCGGUUAUUUAAGUUGGGUGUGAAAUCCCCGGGCUUAACCUGGGAAUCGCACUCAAAACUGGGUAACUAGAGUGUCGGAGAGGAAAGCGGAAUUCCUGGUGUAGCGGUGAAAUGCGUAGAUAUCAGGAGGAACACCGGUGGCGAAGGCGGCUUUCUGGACGAUAACUGACGCUGAGGCACGAAAGCGUGGGGAGCAAACAGGAUUAGAUACCCUGGUAGUCCACGCUGUAAACGAUGAAUACUAGGUGUAGGGGGUGUAUACUCUCUGUGCCGCAGCUAACGCAAUAAGUAUUCCGCCUGGGGAGUACGGUCGCAAGACUAAAACUCAAAUGAAUUGACGG
This 894-nucleotide ribosomal RNA is filed under the name uncultured bacterium. RNAcentral's name for it is "bacterial SSU rRNA". It matches the Rfam family "Bacterial small subunit ribosomal RNA", at positions 8 to 916 of the family's 1533-position model. The record is from RNAcentral.